CGUUCACAUAAAAGGGCGGUGUUUUCACCGUAUGUCCAAUCGCAAAUAUGUACAGAACAAGAGCCGCAUAUUUUACUCAGGAGGAGCAAACGAUAAUUAUGGAAACUUAUCAAACGCACAAACAUACAAUACAGGCAAAGAGUAACACCGUCGCGGCUGCCAAGUCAAGGAGAGAAAGCUGGCAGAAAAUUGCCGACGCUGUUAAUGCGUACGUUACAUGACUUAUUGAUAUCACUGGCCCAGGCACAAGAUGUUACCUAAUUACACUUGUGCGUUCCAUAACGUUAAACUUAAGUUGCUGUAAUAUUUUAGUUGCAACCCUGCCAGUGCUAAACGGUCCUGGGAGCAAAUAAAAAAACAAAUAUAAAAACAUCAUUCAAACCGCCAACAGGAAGAAAAGUGAGGUGAGGAAAACUGGAGGGGGCCCUCCUCCACAGGACUUCACUCCUGCCGAGGAGCUGGCCCUCUCCAGCAAUCAGGGUCGCCCCAUAAUGGAAGGAAUGGAAGGGGGCAUCUCUUCAGACCCUGGUGGCAGCAGAUCAGACACCCAGGCAUGUAUACAGGUGAAAGGAAAUACAGUGGUGUUGCUGCCACCACCCACUGUCAUCCCACGGUGCCAUACAGAGGU
This is a long non-coding RNA of Osmerus eperlanus (European smelt), 628 nucleotides long. RefSeq lists it as uncharacterized. The record is from RefSeq and is a predicted model, not a curated record. The transcript has 3 exons. NCBI's taxonomy places the organism in Eukaryota, Metazoa, Chordata, Actinopteri, Osmeriformes, Osmeridae.